This 22-nucleotide microRNA is filed under the name Ciona intestinalis (vase tunicate). RNAcentral's name for it is "cin-miR-4123-5p". The record is from miRBase by way of RNAcentral. Lineage: Eukaryota; Metazoa; Chordata; Ascidiacea; Phlebobranchia; Cionidae.
AGCUUCUUCCUCAGCUCGCUUU